AGAGUUUGAUCCUGGCUCAGGAUGAACGCUGGCGGCGUGCCUAAUACAUGCAAGUCGAACGGAGAUUGUAGCAAUACGGUCUUAGUGGCGAACGGGCGAGUAACGCGUUGAUGACCUGCCCCGAAGUGUGGGAUAACAGUUCGAAAGGAUUGCUAAUACCGCAUGUGAUCAUUGGGAUUAGAUGCCCUUUGAUUAAAGGAGAAAUUCGCUUUGGGAGGGAUCUGCGUACCAUCAGCUAGUUGGUAGGGUAACGGCCUACCAAGGCGAUGACGGUUAGGGGACCUGAGAGGGUGGACCCCCGCACUGGCACUGAAACACGGGCCAGACACCUACGGGUGGCAGCAGUAGGGAAUAUUGGUUAAUGGGCGAAAGCCCGAACCAGCAACGCCGCGUGCACGAUGAAGGCCUUCGGGUCGUAAAGUGCUUUUUGGAGGGAUGAGGAAGGACAGUACCUUCAGAAUAAGCCUCGGCUAACUACGUGCCAGCAGCCGCGGUAAGACGUAGGAGGCGAGCGUUAUCCGGAUUUACUGGGCGUAAAGCGUGUGCAGGCGGUUUGGUUAGUUGGAUGUGAAAGCUCCUGGCUUAACUGGGAGAGGUCGUUCAAUACUGCCAGACUUGAGGAUGGGAGAGGAAGGUGGAAUUCCGAGUGUAGUGGUGAAAUGCGUAGAUAUUCGGAGGAACACCAGUGGCGAAAGCGGCCUUCUGGCCCAUCUCUGACGCUCAUACACGAAAGCUAGGGGAGCAAACGGGAUUAGAGACCCCGGUAGUCCUAGCUGUAAACGAUGUAACUUGGCGUCGGCGGGUUUA
Molecule: ribosomal RNA, 807 nt
Filed under: uncultured bacterium
Lineage: Bacteria
Description: bacterial SSU rRNA
Rfam family: Bacterial small subunit ribosomal RNA
Source: RNAcentral